GAUGAACGCUGGCGGCGUGCCUAAUACAUGCAAGUCGAGCGAACAGACGAGGAGCUUGCUCCUCUGACGUUAGCGGCGGACGGGUGAGUAACACGUGGAUAACCUACCUAUAAGACUGGGAUAACUUCGGGAAACCGGAGCUAAUACCGGAUAAUAUAUUGAACCGCAUGGUUCAAUAGUGAAAGACGGUUUUGCUGUCACUUAUAGAUGGAUCCGCGCCGCAUUAGCUAGUUGGUAAGGUAACGGCUUACCAAGGCAACGAUGCGUAGCCGACCUGAGAGGGUGAUCGGCCACACUGGAACUGAGACACGGUCCAGGCUCCUACGGGAGGCAGCAGUAGGGAAUCUUCCGCAAUGGGCGAAAGCCUGACGGAGCAACGGCGCGUGAGUGAUGAAGGUCUUCGGAUCGUAAAACUCUGUUAUUAGGGAAGAACAAAUGUGUAAGUAACUAUGCACGUCUUGACGGUAACUAAUCAGAAAGCCACGGCUAACUACGUG
This 497-nucleotide ribosomal RNA is filed under the name uncultured bacterium. Its description in RNAcentral is "partial 16S ribosomal RNA". It matches the Rfam family "Bacterial small subunit ribosomal RNA", at positions 28 to 507 of the family's 1533-position model. The record is from RNAcentral.